This 334-nucleotide long non-coding RNA is filed under the name Trifolium pratense (red clover). RNAcentral's name for it is "long non-coding RNA (TPRA_LNC009155)". The record is from RNAcentral. Lineage: Eukaryota; Viridiplantae; Streptophyta; Magnoliopsida; Fabales; Fabaceae.
GGUGGACGUCGAAGUUCGGCAUGCGAGCCCUCACCAACAGUGGUAUCUGAUAGUUUGGCGAGCCCCCAGGAACUUCUGAUUUGUAGAAGGCCAGCGGGUCGGAGUCUCCCUCAGGUUUGGAGACGGUGAUGGGAGUCACUGAGCAGACAUUUUCCAGCUCCUCGAACUUUCUUUUUACUGAGCCGAGGGUGAUCUUGUUGAGCCCUCCCCCUGUUAUCACCAGUGCUUUUGGGAAGUUUUCCCAUGAGCCAUUCAGGUGGGCGUUGAAAUGCCUCAUGAGCGCUCCCUCAUCCGAUCCCGGGGAUGGGAGUGGGAUUUCAGGUGCCGAGAUGGC